This 449-nucleotide ribosomal RNA is filed under the name uncultured bacterium. RNAcentral describes it as "SSU rRNA". It matches the Rfam family "Bacterial small subunit ribosomal RNA", at positions 26 to 518 of the family's 1533-position model. The record is from RNAcentral.
AGAACGAACGCUGGCGGCAGGCUUAACACAUGCAAGUCGAACGCUCGUAGCAAUACGGGAGUGGCAGACGGGUGAGUAACGCGUGGGAACAUACCCUCCGGUUCGGAAUAGCUCAGGGAAACUUGGAUUAAUACCGGAUACGGCUGAGAGGCGAAAGAUUUAUCGCCGGAGGAUUGGCCCGCGUUCGAUUAGCUUGUUGGUGAGGUAACGGCUCACCAAGGCGAUGAUCGAUAGCUGGUCUGAGAGGAUGAUCAGCCACAUUGGGACUGAGACACGGCCCAAACUCCUACGGGAGGCAGCAGUGGGGAAUAUUGGACAAUGGGCGCAAGCCUGAUCCAGCCAUGCCGCGUGAGUGAUGACGGCCUUAGGGUUGUAAAGCUCUUUCGCUCGGGACGAUAAUGACGGUACCGAGAUAAGAAGCCCCGGCUAACUUCGCGCCAGCAGCCGAC